CAAGCGUAUAAUGCAGUUCCAACUGGUAACGGGAAGAAGCUUGCUUCUUUGCCGACGAGUGGCGGACGGGUGAGUAAUGCUUGGGAAUCCGGCUUAUGGAGGGGGAUAACGACGGGAAACUGUCACUAAUACCGCGUGAUAUCUACGGAUUAAAGGGUGGGACUUUCAGGCCACCCGCCAUAAGAUGAGCCCUAGUGGGAUUACGUAGUUGGUGGGGUAAAGGCCUACCAAGCCUGCGAUCUCUAGCUGGUCUGAGAGGAUGACCAGCCACACCGGGACUGAAACACGGCCCGGACUCCUACGGGAGGCAGCAGUGGGGAAUAUUGCACAAUGGGGGGAACCCUGAUGCUACCAUGCCACGUGAAUGAAGAUAGCCCUUCGGGUUGUAAAGUUCUUUCGGUAGCGAGGAAGGUGUUUUGUUUAAUAGACAAAUCUAUUGACCUUAACUACUGAAAGAAGCACCGGCUUACUCCACGCCAAGCAACCGCGGGUAA
This 494-nucleotide ribosomal RNA is filed under the name uncultured bacterium. RNAcentral describes it as "bacterial SSU rRNA". It matches the Rfam family "Bacterial small subunit ribosomal RNA", at positions 43 to 524 of the family's 1533-position model. The record is from RNAcentral.